RNAcentral lists this transfer RNA (73 nucleotides) under Lonchura leucosticta (White-spotted munia). RNAcentral's name for it is "tRNA-Ile". Lineage: Eukaryota; Metazoa; Chordata; Aves; Passeriformes; Estrildidae. The record is from RNAcentral.
UGCCUGAAUGCUUAAGGGUCACUAUGAUAAAGUGAACAUAGAGGUACACCAGCCCUCUCAUUUCCUUACUUAG